Ailuropoda melanoleuca (giant panda) is the source of this 73-nucleotide small nucleolar RNA. NCBI's taxonomy places the organism in Eukaryota, Metazoa, Chordata, Mammalia, Carnivora, Ursidae. The record is from Ensembl.
UUGCGAUGAUGUGGAUUUCUCACUGAAUUAAACUCUGAAGUGCGAGUACAUGAGCUUUUUAACCCUGAGCAAU